UAAGGAAUAUUGGUCAAUGGACGCAAGUCUGAACCAGCCAUGCCGCGUGAAGGAUGAAGGUCCUCUGGAUUGUAAACUUCUUUUAUCUGGGACGAAAACGGGAUUUUUAUCUCAAUUGACGGUACCAGAGGAAUAAGCACCGGCUAACUCCGUGCCAGCAGCCGCGGUAAUACGGAGGGUGCGAGCGUUAUCCGGCUUUACUGGGUUUAAAGGGUGCGUAGGUGGGCUUAUAAGUCAGUGGUGAAAUCUCCGAGCUUAACUUGGAAGCUGCCGUUGAUACUAUAGGUCUUGAAUUAUCUGGAGGUAAGCGGAAUAUGUCAUGUAGCGGUGAAAUGCUUAGAUAUGACAUAGAACACCAAUUGCGAAGGCAGCUUACUACAUAUAAAUUGACGCUGAGGCACGAAAGCGUGGGGAUCAAACA
This 421-nucleotide ribosomal RNA is filed under the name uncultured bacterium. RNAcentral's name for it is "bacterial SSU rRNA". It matches the Rfam family "Bacterial small subunit ribosomal RNA", at positions 355 to 774 of the family's 1533-position model. The record is from RNAcentral.